UUAUUGACCACGUUAUAAACCAUCGCCUCACAAUGGCAGAGGCAGGUCGCCGAGUGCAGCCUAAUGUGCCUCGGUCUACAGUCUCCUCCAUCAUCCAAACCUUUCGCAGGGCAAACAGGUUUGGACGACAGCCUCAAGUGGGUGGCAGAAGAAAACUUCUAAAUGAACAACAAGAACAAGAAAUAUGCAACAUGAGAAUAAUGACAUUAGAAGGCAACGAAACCCUCACAUCCUGGUGUUCAUUGAUGAAGCUGGCUUCAACCUGGCCAAAGGUCGAAGGCGUGGCCGUAACAUCAUUGGCCACCAAGCCACUGUGGAUGUCCCAGGCCAGCGAGGAGCAAAUAUAACAAUGUGUGCCGCUAUAUCAGAAAGAGGUGUGGCCACACACAUUCCCAGUUUAGGGCCCUACAAUACACAAAAGCUCCUCAAUUUUUUGGACCACCUUUAUGCUGAUCUGAUCCCAGAAAAUGAGAGAGGUGAAGAAGGACCUCAGCUACCACAUUAUGUCAUUGUGUGGGAUAAUGUGAACUUCCACCGCGGCCCACGCAUCAGAACCUGGUUCACCACCCAUCCCCGGAUGCUAAUGGAGUUUCUUCCACCUUACUCUCCUUUCCUAAAUCCAAUUGAGGAGUUUUUUUCAGCUUGGAGGUGGAGGGUGUAUGAGCAUCAGGCUCAAGACCAGAGGGCCCUGCUGCAUGCAAUGGAUGCUGCAUGUGAGGACAUCACAGCGGAUCAAUGUAGGGGAUGGUGAGACAUUCACGCCGUUUCUUCCCUCGCUGCAUCGCAAGAGAAAAUAUCCGUUGCGAUGUGGAUGAGAAUUUAUGGCCUGACAGAGAGCAGCGCGUCGAUGGCCAGGGGGAUGAGGAUGGUGGCCAGGAAAGAGAGGGUGACAAUGGCGACCACUGAAAAUAUUACUGUACUAUAGUUCUGAAAAUUUAUUUACAGUAUGGUAGGCUAGAGUUUGUUUUGGUUUUUUGUUUGUUUAUAACUGUUCACAUUUACAGAAUCCUG
Molecule: long non-coding RNA, 1011 nt
Organism: Astatotilapia calliptera (eastern happy)
Lineage: Eukaryota; Metazoa; Chordata; Actinopteri; Cichliformes; Cichlidae
Source: Ensembl